Molecule: unclassified non-coding RNA, 440 nt
Filed under: Causonis japonica
Lineage: Eukaryota; Viridiplantae; Streptophyta; Magnoliopsida; Vitales; Vitaceae
Description: partial miscellaneous RNA
Source: RNAcentral
CCCUCUAGAUCUAGCUGCUGUUGAAGCUCCAUCUAUAAAUGGAUAAGAUUUUGAUCUUAGUGUAUACGAGUUUUUGAAUGUAAAGGAGCAAUAACCAAUUUCCCCCUAUCAGUAUCAAGGGGGAUGGUAUUGCUCCUUUAUUUAGUAGUCUUUUAUUUAUAUUUUUUUAUAUUUAUCUAAGUUUUUUUAUUUCUUUAUUUCAAAUUUCAACUAAAAUUCAAAAAGUAAUAAAAAAUAUUCUCAUAGGUUGGUUUAUGAUUGAGUAUCAUACUUCUGUUUUGUUGUUUAAUAACUUAAAAUUAAAGUAAGAUAAUAAAAAAACAUAAUGAAUGGUGGAGAUUGAGUCUUUUUCAAUUUUAUAUUUUUUGUAAUCUGAUCUGAGAGGGGCGGAUGUAGCCAAGUGGAUCAAGGCAGUGGAUUGUGAAUCCACCAUGCGCGCC